AGCCUCGUGGUGUAGUGGUCUAGCAUCAUGCCCUCUGGCGGCAUGGACCUCGGUUCGAAUCCGAGCGAGGCUA
RNAcentral lists this transfer RNA (73 nucleotides) under Candidatus Pacearchaeota archaeon. RNAcentral describes it as "tRNA-Gln". It matches the Rfam family "tRNA". From Rfam's summary of the family: Transfer RNA (tRNA) molecules are approximately 80 nucleotides in length. Their secondary structure includes four short double-helical elements and three loops (D, anti-codon, and T loops). Further hydrogen bonds mediate the characteristic L-shaped molecular structure. tRNAs have two regions of fundamental functional importance: the anti-codon, which is responsible for specific mRNA codon recognition, and the 3' end, to which the tRNAs corresponding amino acid is attached (by aminoacyl-tRNA synthetases). tRNAs cope with the degeneracy of the genetic code in two manners: having more than one tRNA (with a specific anti-codon) for a particular amino acid; and 'wobble' base-pairing, i.e. permitting non-standard base-pairing at the 3rd anti-codon position. The record is from RNAcentral. Lineage: Archaea; Nanobdellati.